This 77-nucleotide transfer RNA is filed under the name Bacillota bacterium. RNAcentral's name for it is "Firmicutes bacterium (gut metagenome) tRNA-Arg". It matches the Rfam family "tRNA". From Rfam's summary of the family: Transfer RNA (tRNA) molecules are approximately 80 nucleotides in length. Lineage: Bacteria; Bacillati; Bacillota. The record is from RNAcentral. RNAcentral also lists the same sequence under 8 other names.
GUCUCCGUAGCUCAGUAGGAUAGAGCGUUCGCCUCCUAAGCGAAAGGCCGCGCGUUCGAAUCGCGCCGGGGACGCCA